AUGUUUGAUGUUCUAACGUGGACCCGUAAUCCGGGUUGCGGACAGUGUCUGGUGGGUAGUUUGACUGGGGCGGUCUCCUCCUAAAGAGUAACGGAGGAGCACGAAGGUUGGCUAAUCCUGGUCGGACAUCAGGAGGUUAGUGCAAUGGCAUAAGCCAGCUUGACUGCGAGCGUGACGGCGCGAGCAGGUGCGAAAGCAGGUCAUAGUGAUCCGGUGGUUCUGAAUGGAAGGGCCAUCGCUCAACGGAUAAAAGGUACUCCGGGGAUAACAGGCUGAUACCGCCCAAGAGUUCAUAUCGACGGCGGUGUUUGGCACCUCGAUGUCGGCUCAUCACAUCCUGGGGCUGAAGUAGGUCCCAAGGGUAUGGCUGUUCGCCAUUUAAAGUGGUACGCGAGCUGGGUUUAGAACGUCGUGAGACAGUUCGGUCCCUAUCUGCCGUGGGCGCUGGAGAACUGAGGGGGGCUGCUCCUAGUACGAGAGGACCGGAGUGGACGCAUCACUGGUGUUCGGGUUGUCAUGCCAAUGGCACUGCCCGGUAGCUAAAUGCGGAAGAGAUAAGUGCUGAAAGCAUCUAAGCACGAAACUUGCCCCGAGAUGAGUUCUCCCUGAGACUUA
RNAcentral lists this ribosomal RNA (615 nucleotides) under Salmonella enterica. RNAcentral describes it as "partial 23S ribosomal RNA". It matches the Rfam family "Bacterial large subunit ribosomal RNA", at positions 2210 to 2824 of the family's 2925-position model. Lineage: Bacteria; Pseudomonadati; Pseudomonadota; Gammaproteobacteria; Enterobacterales; Enterobacteriaceae. The record is from RNAcentral. RNAcentral also lists the same sequence under 2 other names.